UAGUGAGAUGAACAUCGGCGCUACUUUAUCUCUUUGACCUGGAAUUAGAAAAUGGCGGCUGUCCACCAGAUGCGCUCAAAUACAGACAAAUAAAUACAGUACAUACGGACGUUUAAAAGCUGAUAGUUUCCUAAAAAAAAGUACAACCGACUUUCUUUUUUGGGUUAAAAGAAAAGGUUAAAUAUAUGACUAAACUGUCUGCAUGUUUGUUUACUGUCUGUGUGUGUGCGCGCGCGCAUGCGCGAGUACUGUGGAGCGAGUGAAGCGUGUUGGUGAGAGCGUGAAAGACAGGGUUUUUUUUCAGUUUCUUUCUCUUACUUUCCCCCUCUACGUGUUAGAAUUAUAACAAAGUUAGAAAGUCCCGUAUAUAUUAGGCCGCUCGCGGCUUUUCUCGUGUCAUGACGUCUGUACACGGACUCGCACACCUCCCGGUGCAAUGGCUGCAGGUGUGUGCCUGAGCUCGGCGUAAGCGUGGAGGAACUGCUCGUGGCGGUAGGAGAGGUACUUUGAUAAUAUCCUCUCAGCAUCGCGAAUGAAAAACGCGAUCGUAGUGCUUUUGAAAACAGAACAGCUUGUUAGUCAGUUGACCGAGAACGGAGUAUGGGUUAGAGGAAGUUAUGUGACCGUGACUCCUUUAGCGACUCCGGCCACAAAAACCACCAUUUCAAAUGUACCACCUUUUAUUCCAAACGACGUCAUUCUUAAGGAACUGGCACGAUACAGGAAAACCGCAAGUCCCAUCAGAAUGAUUCCACUAGGAUGCAAAAAUACAGCAUUAAAACACGCCCUCUCAUUUAGACGGCAGGUGUUCGUGUUUCUGACUUCACCUGAGCGCGUGUUAGAGAUCUCUUUCUGCAUCAGUCACGGAGAGCGCUCUUACAUGCUGUAUGCAAGUACCAACAAUUUUAAGUGUUUUGAAUGUGGUGAUUUAGGACACAAAGUGUCCUUCUGUCCACUUAAAAAAGGUGGACAAUGAUCAGCAGUUACAUGAUGAUACAGCUGAAAACGGAUCAUCUAACAAUAACAGUAACCGUGAUACUACAGAGGUUACAGCAACGCAGCAAACAAAGGUGAUGAAGAGACCAGCAGAAAGGCCUUCCCAGGAGGCAAAGGGGCAGAGGAGGAGCAAAGAGGGAGACUCGGCCGGUGAGGCUGACCCUGCAGAAGUCGUGCAAGCGUGGCCACUCAUUAUAGGUGUGCCUGCAUGUGAGAGCUCAAGGCUGUUACUCCCCUUAAUAUUCCAAGAUCAGUAAUACACCUGGGAGCAUCUUCCUCAGGGGCUGUGGACUCCCCUGCGGUUUACUCCUCUGUGGUCAGAGACUCCCUCUCACGCUCCCAAGGCCGACAUGACAUGAUUGCGGUCAUCCUCCGCCCCAUACCACACAACAAAUGUUAAGCUUCCUGGACGUUAUCAGGUAUGGUCUUCAGUGUAUUGCUCUCUUCAUGACAAAAUCCUGAGAGCUGGGUGUUCUAAGGAAAAGACUUAUGCUCUGCACCUGUACUAUGGCUGGCAAACUACAACAGACUUUUGCUUAUAUGUGACUGAGAGAGGCGGCGCCGAUGCAGGUUGCCAGCUCAGGAGUAUGAGGGCGCUUGCUGGUCUUUAGUUUAUUUAUCGAAAACAUUGGAUUUGGUGGCACAAGGAUUGUCAGCACGUUUGCGUGCCAUGGCUGGAACUGAUGUCUUAGUGCAGAUCACUGGGAAAAUUGCUCUCUCACACAUUGAUCUUACACUCAUCACACCAGGUUACUUCCAUUUUUAUUAACAUCCGCAUACAACACAUGACGGCUCAACAAAGAACAGGAUAUGAAUUUAUUCUUUGUGCCACCCAAAAUGUAACUAUUAAACCUAUUAGUGUGCCUAAUACACCAACUGUAGUGUUGUAUUGCCUAAUUAAUUCUGUGGAGCCAAUGACUGAGAACACUCACAAUUGCCCAGCCGAAAUUCAUAUUUCCUCGAGCUUAAAUUUGACCUUUUUAGAUGUUCUAUCUGAAAGAUUUUGUGUCUGAAAUUUCACAAACAUUAUGAGCACCCUGCUCUGCCCAGUUGGCUGAAUUAGAAGCUAUCACUACAGAGUGCAAACAGGUUAAUUUCAGAUCCGCAUGGUUUUAACCAGUGCGCGAGGGGGAAGUUAUGGGAAAGAUAAAACAGCAAGAGUACUGGUCUCUGUACUUACAGGCAGUGAUGGAUACUUUUUUUUUCUGGGUGUGAUAUUUAUGCUCAAAACAAUGUCAGAAAGGGAAAAUCAGUAUCAAUAGGGCACAUAUCAAUUCCAGAAGGGCCGUUUAAGCACUUGGUGAGAGACAGGUUUAGCAGAUGCAGGGAGGCAAUGCCAUCAGCAGACUAAACUGCUGGUACAGUAAUUAAAUUUUUGAGCCGUAAUUCCUAGAUCUGGCAUACCAUCUCAGAUUAGCUCUGGCAAUGGCUCAGCAUUUGUUUAAAAAACAGUGUUACAUUAACUGUGAAUAAAUUAAAAUUGUGAUGUGUUUAUCACACUCAGUCACAGGGAAUAGUGGGAAAGGUAAGUGGUACCUUUAAGGCUAAGCUUAACGCAAUUUGUGCUGACGCUAAACUCGUUUCGGUAGAUGCUCUACCUCUUGCACUCAUGGCCUAUCGCAUGCAGACUAACAGAAAUAUGCAUCUAACACCGCAUGAAAUGCUUAUGGGUUGACCCAUGUCUGUGUCAUAUCUGAGAGGUCCUUAUGAAGGACUGCUGCUGGAGUAAUUGCAGAUGGAACUAAGAGCAUAUAUGCGAUAACUUACUGCUAUGUAUGAAGCUAUCUAUUCACAGGACCAGAGCUGGGGACCGAGAGAGGAGACAGUCCAGUGACUCCUGGAGAACUUGUGUACCUAGGGGUGUUCCAGCCCAGAAGGGAAGGGUGAGUGAAAGUGAGCACCUAGAUUAAAACCUAGGAGAAAGGAGGAUCAGGUGAUCGAAGGGGACGAUCCAAUGGUUGACAUUGCAGAAGAAAGAACAAGCCAAGACCUGAGAGAGGGUUUAAAUGAAGGUAAAGGAGAAUGGCAGUCUCAGGCGAUGGCAAAGAAGGUGGUCUGUUACUGGUCAUACCAACAGAGCAGGAGGGAAUAAGGGCUCCUGCUGCGGUUCUGACGAGCCUGAUACUCCUGCCGAAGGAGAAAGAGGCCCAAGCAGACGUCCCUUCCAGGACAACCUUUCCGCAAUUGACUCUUAAGCCCUUGACUAGUCUCUAGAACAGUACUGAACUAGAGCUGAAUGAGACAAUCAGUGAGCCAGAUUGAAUCUCUGAUCGGCUGCAACAGGAUGGAACAGAUUCCAGUUCCUCAAGUGAGGACGGAGAAGUUUGAUGAGCCAUGCCCUGGGUGUAAGUACUAGCUUGACCUCUCCACAAGGGUGGCCCCCUGCGAUAAGCAAAGUAUCUGGGUCGAAGACAAACAUUGCUAACACAUCCCCUGAGAAAGGAUGUGAUGGAUUUUGUAUUUUUUGCUUUUUCCAUUUUUCUAUUUUGGAAUUUUUACAUUUUCUAUUACAAUAUAAUCAAUUGUGAUUAAAGAGACAGGGUGGUCACUGUCUGAUUUGUCUUUGUAAUCAAACUGAAAAUCUAACAAUUUGGUGUCAGACGUGCGAUUACUCUGGACCACGGUAAGUGUUUUUUCUUUCUUCCCUGAUGCGGUGUAUUCCGAACCCAUAAUUAUAAAUGAGAUAAAUGAGUGAUUGUCUGUCGUUAAUAAUCUGUACUCUGGUCUAUGUUCCUCUGUAACGUCAUGCCUGCUUAAUAAUUGUAUUUUAUAUUACGUAGAAUAAUUUGCAACUGUCUGUGUGGUUUGCCUACGAGUGUUUAUAUUUAGAGUAUUAUUGUGUUAUUGUGUGUGUUGUAUUCCAAGUUAUGGGUGGGUCUCCGUCCAGCCUGGCUCUUCCGUGUCAUUAUUGUAAGAAACCUGGCCACUGGGCUCGUUACUGUCGUGCUAAAAAAACGAGAUCGGCAGCGAGGAAGAGGUCAAGGUGGUCGUGGUUUUAUAGUAAGAGGUGUCCUGCAGUAUUUUCCUGCACAAUCUGGCCCAUAUUAUCAGCCUGGUCAGUAUCAGCCCGCUCCUCAUAUGUAUGGCCAACCAUCUUAUUAUCACAAUCAAUAGGGAUGCCCACAGAGCUCUUGCGACCCAGUGUGCCGAUCAUACUUAAUCGUAGCUUUUAAUUCAUUUAAUAUUGAUUUUAAUUCCGUGUGUUUCCCUGUUUGUAAACUGAAUGAAAGUGUUUUGAAUUCCAUGAUGACGUUAAUUUAAAGACAGCAAGGGAGAGAGUGCGCGCGAGAGAGGGAGAGACGUGUGUGCUCUGUUGUUGCUCUCGCGGUCAGAACGGUGCACUGAUACGUCACUUUAACGCAAACGAAAGACUUUCUUUUUAUUGCCAUUGUAUAUAAUAUUCAGGGACUGUUAUGAAUAUUAGUACAAAUUAUUAUAACGUUUGGAUGAAUUAAUUUUCAUGCAUGAAUUCGUAAACAUGCCGGAGUGUCCUUUUAAUUUUGCAUUCUUGGG
Long non-coding RNA from Ictalurus furcatus (blue catfish), 4509 nucleotides. RefSeq lists it as uncharacterized. NCBI's taxonomy places the organism in Eukaryota, Metazoa, Chordata, Actinopteri, Siluriformes, Ictaluridae. The record is from RefSeq and is a predicted model, not a curated record. The transcript is spliced from 3 exons.